AGGCUGUGUGACAUCAUGGAUAUCAUUUGAAGUAGAUCGAAAAUGCAUGACAACAUCACUGAUGAUGAAAUGUUAUUGUAGACUUACUGUAGGCUACACGUGGACUUUGCAUCGAAAAUAUGUUUGCUGACGUUGUAAUAACAUGAUAAGAGAGAGCCUUGAUUAUGAAAUACUGUGUAGCCUGCUGACUUUCGACACAGUGAUGAGUGAGAGUAGCCUAAAUCGAAACGAAACCCCAGUGCUUCACCGCGGGAUUAAGAAGAAAUACGUCAUAUUGUUUCAUUGUUGUCUGAAUAUUAUAUCAAGGUGACAGACUACUACCCUAUUAUUGAACUGGAAAUGCCUUUGGUUAAUAAAAGAGGGCUGGAAUGUGUUUCUUUGGAAUCAUUUAUAAGGCCCACUGAAAUGUCCCAGAACCCUUUCAGGUCAUACAAAACCAUUUUUGGUUACAAAUUUAGUUUUAUUUGGAAAGACAGUUUCUAGCUAACUGCAAUUUCUCUCCACUGAUUCAAAGACAGGGUAUCUGCAACUUUGCCCUUUACAACUUUAGAACUUUGACCUUCUCUUCCUCCUGAUUUCUGCCAGCUCACUUUGGACUCAAACACAGUAUUCAAAAACCUCUCAGUGAGGGCUGAACAAAGUGACUGCUGAACAGCAAGAACAGCUAAUCAACCAGAGAGAUUUGUUUUGGCCCGGCGGGUGCUGUGUGAGAGACUCUGUCUGGACAUUACUGGGAGGUUGAGUGGAGUGGGAAAGGUGUUCUUCCAUCAGUCUCAAGACAUCAGCAGGUCAAGUAAAGACUCUGGAUUGGGAAACAAUGACAAGUCCUCGAGUUUAGAGUGCAGUAAGCAGAGUUACUGGUUCAGACACAGCAAUAUAAAGACUGCAGUGUCUGGCCAUUAGUCCUCCAGAAUAGGGGUGUAUCUGGACCACAAUGCAGGAACUCUGUCCUACAUUUACAUUUUCAUUUGAGUCAUUUAGCAGAUGCUCUUAUCCAGAGCGACUUACAGUUAGUGCAUUCAUCAGUCCAAUCAAAGCUACGGUAGACAUAACAUGAUUUGACAUCAUUUUACCUGUGGCCAAUGACCUUGUGCCUUCUUGGAUGGGGACUUCUAAUGUAAAUCUAUGUCAACACCCAAGGGGGCUUAAACUGCCUAACUCUCCCUGAAGAUUCUGUGGUGACGUAGUGUCCCCAUGAGUGACGGAACACUGAGCCAAUCACGGCGCAACUAAAGAAGAUUACCAACACCUACACUCUGUGUAUUCCGCAGCUGCCCCUCCACCACAGAAAGCACUGAGUUAGACAAACAUUUUGGAGCUGCCUUAAUCGAGAAAUGUUUAGGUACGUGUAAUCGGGCUGUGUGUUAUCGUUUUAACUUCCAGUUUCCAAGAUUAUGUUUCUGUAUGCAGUGCUGCUACUCUGCACAUUUGUAGGUACACUAUCCUUCUGACCCCAAUGCAGCCAGGUCCCAUCUACUUUUUAACUCCUCGCAAGUGUGGCUUGUUUGGUGUCUGCUGUAAAGGAAUAUCACAACAAGUCAACUACUUCAUUGAUGAAGGC
Long non-coding RNA from Oncorhynchus keta (chum salmon), 1561 nucleotides. RefSeq lists it as uncharacterized. The record is from RefSeq and is a predicted model, not a curated record. NCBI's taxonomy places the organism in Eukaryota, Metazoa, Chordata, Actinopteri, Salmoniformes, Salmonidae. The transcript has 3 exons.